CACGUAAUGGUGGGGACUCGUGAGAGACUGCCGGGGUCAACUCGGAGGAAGGUGGGAUGACGUCAAAUCAUCAUGCCCUUAUGUCUAGGGCUUCACACAUGCUACAAUGGCUAGUACAGAGGGCUGCGAUACCGCGAGGUGGAGCGAAUCCCUUAAAAGCUGGUCUCAGUUCGGAUUGGGGUCUGCAACUCGACCCCAUGAAGUCGGAGUCGCUAGUAAUCGCAGAUCAGCAACGCUGCGGUGAAUACGUUCCCGGGCCGUU
Molecule: ribosomal RNA, 262 nt
Filed under: uncultured Mycobacterium sp.
Lineage: Bacteria; Bacillati; Actinomycetota; Actinomycetes; Mycobacteriales; Mycobacteriaceae
Description: partial 16S ribosomal RNA
Rfam family: Bacterial small subunit ribosomal RNA
Source: RNAcentral